Molecule: small RNA, 28 nt
Filed under: Bombyx mori (domestic silkworm)
Lineage: Eukaryota; Metazoa; Arthropoda; Insecta; Lepidoptera; Bombycidae
Description: ovarian small RNA-35323
Source: RNAcentral
UGUAAGAGUGCAGAGGAGUCGUUUAGUG